Macaca mulatta (Rhesus monkey) is the source of this 1899-nucleotide long non-coding RNA. Lineage: Eukaryota; Metazoa; Chordata; Mammalia; Primates; Cercopithecidae. The record is from Ensembl.
AAGAAGAUGGCUUUGGCUGCCCUUGUGGACCUGUGCUUCUCUGUCUGGGCACUGCCUGUUUCUGGAAGGUGUUUCCUCUCAGCCCGGAGUUAUAGGUACAAGAGCACGCAAGAGAGCAGACAGAUUCAGCCUGGUUUCAUGUGCCUCCAGCUCUUACAGUUGUGGAGAGUUUGAGGUUGAUGGAAAUGCUUUCACAGAGGAUUUUUGUAAUCUUCACAUAAUCCUGAGAAGUAGAGAUUCAGAGGACAGUCCUCAAAACGAAAAGGUUUUUGUAGUUGUUUUCUGAAACAUCCAAGAAGUACCUGGAAAGACAAAGGGAACGAAUACCUACUACUACGAAUCACUGGAUGCUGAUAAUGUGCUAAAGGUGAUAUCUUAUUCACAGCUGCAUCAGUCAGAAGACUUCAUCAACUCACCAUUCCUCUGAGACCAUUUACAGGUUAUUAAAAAAUCCAAGUUCCGUAGAGCUGGCCUUCAACUCGGAUGUUAAGCUUGACAUGAUUCCUUUCCACGUGUUUUCAUUUUCUUCUGCGACAGCAUCUCCUGCUCCCUAAAAUAGUGCAUUUAUCUCCCAAAUUCAAUUAUCCAUAUUAACUGGGGAGCUGCUAUCGGGAUAAGUGAUAUCCGUAAAUGUUCCAAGAAGCUUUAACCUUAAUAACUUUAUCACAAUCAAUAGUUCCAAAUUCAUCAAACAGGGCUUCACUAGAGUUGCCAAAAAGGAAUACAAUUUAACUGCUCUGAGAGCUUUCACCCUGUCCUCAUCACGUGUUUCCAUGGAAGAUGCGAAGAACAGAGACACACGAGAAAGGUGGACAGGCAGAGUCAAAAACGAAACGGAAUGAGGUAUCCGACUGUCAACAAGCUGGGUAAUCUGCAUUUCCCUGAGCUCGACUCUGUUCCUCUCUGUUCUUCCUUCUGUUUUUUCUCUCUCCUCACUGGAGUGCUAAUGAAUACCUUCCACUGCUCUGGAAUGCCAUUGUGUUGUGACUGUCCUCCCUUGCGAGGUCUUUGGGGAGGCCACGAUGAGACCGGUCUCAUCCACGGCUUCAUGUCCUCCUCUCUGAUACAGUCCCCAAAGACCCUCUCCACUCAGGGCUCAAGUGCCACUCACUGGGUGGGUCAUACCCCCAGCCCCGUAAAAUGUUUCUGAAGGAUUGGGGUUCUGACAUACCUCACCCGAAUCUUUUGCAUCUUUAAUAAACGAAGUUAGUACCAAGUUAUCUUAAAGCAAUCAAGUCUUCAUUUACACCCUUUAAAUAUCUCUAGACAGUUAUCACGGCCCUCUGUCAAGCAACACGAUGACCCCGUUCUGCCCUCUCUCAGAAAUGCGAAGGAGCAGUGUUUGCGCUGUUUCAAAAAAUCUUUGGCAGCAGGGAAGAUGGACUCUGUUGUUAUCAGAAAUGGAAAGUAAAUUUGUCUCUCCUCUGUAAACAGAGACGUUUUUACACUGUUCUUCGCAGGAACUCACAGUGCAGCUUACAAACAGCAGGGAUAUGGUCAUUGGUCAUUUGUUUCCUUACUAACCAGAAAAAAAAGCCAGGGAUGUGGUCAGAUGACAAUCAUGAAAUCACAUUUUAUUGAAUAGGCUUUAUACUUGUAAGAUGUCAUCUCUUCCUUUUGUCUCUAACCUGCUUUUUUCUCUCCCCCCCUUUUUUUCUUUUUUUGGCUCUUAUCUUCUGGUAAAAUGCAUGAAUCUUCACCUUGGAGCAAACUAAACAGACUCCACUUUAAAUUCUUCAAGGACAGUGACUUUAGUUGUUAUUCGUGUGUGUGUGUGUGUGUGUGUGAAAGAGAGAAACAGCACCAAAUGAAUGAGUGAGUGAAUAAGAAAAUAAAUGAAUAAAAAUUGCAAAAGGGAUCAAACAGGAGCAAAUAUGAGAUAGUUUAAUUUAAAAAAAA